UACGAGGGGGGCAAGCGUUGUUCGGAAUUAUUGGGCGUAAAGGGCGCGUAGGCGGUGCGGUAAGUCUGAUGUGAAAUCUCCGGGCUCAACUCGGAGUCUGCAUCAGAAACUGCCGUGCUCGAGUGUGGGAGAGGUGAGUGGAAUUCCUGGUGUAGCAGUGAAAUGCGUAGAUAUCAGGAGGAAUACCGAUGGCGAAGGCAGGUCUCUGGGCUGACACUGACGCUCAUGCACGAAAGCGUGGGGAGCAAACAGG
This 253-nucleotide ribosomal RNA is filed under the name uncultured bacterium. RNAcentral's name for it is "partial 16S ribosomal RNA". It matches the Rfam family "Bacterial small subunit ribosomal RNA", at positions 524 to 776 of the family's 1533-position model. The record is from RNAcentral.